This 493-nucleotide ribosomal RNA is filed under the name uncultured bacterium. RNAcentral describes it as "partial 16S ribosomal RNA". It matches the Rfam family "Bacterial small subunit ribosomal RNA", at positions 28 to 506 of the family's 1533-position model. The record is from RNAcentral.
GACGAACGCUGGCGGCGUGCUUAACACAUGCAAGUCGAACGGUGAAGCGCCUUCCUUUUUGGUGGGUGUGGAUGAGUGGCGAACGGGUGAGUAACACGUGAGUAACCUGCCCCCUUCUUCUGGAUAACCGCAUGAAAGUGUGGCUAAUACGGGAUAUUCUGGGUCUGUCGCAUGAUGGGUCUGGGAAAGAUAUUGUUUCGGUGGGAGAUGGGCUCGCGGCCUAUCAGCUUGUUGGUGGGGUGAUGGCCUACCAAGGCGGUGACGGGUAGCCGGCCUGAGAGGGUGGACGGUCACACUGGGACUGAGACACGGCCCAGACUCCUACGGGAGGCAGCAGUGGGGAAUAUUGCACAAUGGGCGCAAGCCUGAUGCAGCGACGCCGCGUGAGGGAUGGAGGCCUUCGGGUUGUGAACCUCUUUCGCCAGUGAAGCAGGCCUGCCUCGUUUGUGGGUGGGUUGACGGUAGCUGGAUAAGAAGCGCCGGCUAACUACGU